NNNNNNNNNNGACCAGUGACAAGAGGACAGGCAGACAGGGACAAGAGCGGGAGCAGCCACCAGGCCCAGAUUCUCCCCCGGGAGCCUUAGGAGGGAAGCGGGCCGCCCUCCCCGAGACGAUACACACACCCACACCGCUGUGGGUUUAUCACACCAGGGGUCUUCAGCGCUUCCCCCCACGCUCGGCCUCGGGCUGGUGCCUGGGAACAGAGGGGGCCCCGGGUCUAGGCGGUGGGGCAGGGCGAGGGCAGGGAUCUGGCAAGGGGGAUCGGGGAGCCUGGGCAGGAUCUGGGGGAGUGGGGACAGGCCAGGCCAGCUCCCGGGGCGGCCACUGCAGAGGGUGGGGGGAAGGCCACAUUCAGACGGCUGGGGGCAUUGAAGGCCCCCAUGGUGCCCUGCUGGGUGGGGGUCUUGGCACCUCCCUGGAAGACUCUGCCAGAUCCCCCCACAGCCACCCCAGGAGCUACACUGGGCACAGACACGGAGGUCGGCCAAGGCUGCCCAAGGCCCCGGCAGCAAGGAGGAGAUGGAGAUGCAGUGGGCGGGGCCUCUCAGACACACGCCCACAGCGCCUGGGCCGGGCAGCAGGUCCUGGAGGUGCCGGUCACCUCCCCAUGCUCAUGGUGGCUGGGGGGUGGGCACAGUGGCAGCAGCUUCUUAGGCUCUCCCCCCGACUCCAGGGCCUGGGGGGGAGGGGCUUCUCCGGGAGCAGCGCCCCCACCCCGGGCUGGUUCGCUCCCCAAAUGCCUGCAACGGCCAGGGCUGGGCUAGGCUGGAGCUGGGCGCUAAGAGCUCCUUCCGGGUCUCCUGCGUGGGAGAGGUGGGAAGGACCCCGGGGAGCCUCUGGAGGGGGGGCAGCCCCAGGGACGCUGGGACUUUGGUCUUCUGCCCUCCAGAGCGCUGACAGCUCUGGGGUUGGAGGCCUGCCCCUUGCUGGUUCUCUGUGGCAACAGCUCCAGGACACCAACGCGUGGCUCCCCCCACACCCUGCUGUCCCCCCUUCCCAGGCCAACAAACAGGAAGUCCCAAACACCCGCCCUUCCAGGAGCCGCAGCUGGGCUCAUCAGAUCCGCCACCACGCCCCGUCCACACCUGCUCCCAAUCCCCUCUCUACACCUUUUUUUUUUAAGCCCGAAAACGAAAAGAACCCCAGUGAGAGCG
This 1161-nucleotide long non-coding RNA is filed under the name Oryctolagus cuniculus (rabbit). RNAcentral's name for it is "lncRNA (ENSOCUG00000036232.1)". Lineage: Eukaryota; Metazoa; Chordata; Mammalia; Lagomorpha; Leporidae. The record is from RNAcentral.